This 72-nucleotide transfer RNA is filed under the name Bacillus phage 0305phi8-36. It matches the Rfam family "tRNA". From Rfam's summary of the family: Transfer RNA (tRNA) molecules are approximately 80 nucleotides in length. Their secondary structure includes four short double-helical elements and three loops (D, anti-codon, and T loops). The record is from Rfam by way of RNAcentral. Lineage: Duplodnaviria; Heunggongvirae; Uroviricota; Caudoviricetes.
GUCAUCGUAGCUUAAUAGGUAAAGCGCUGACCUAACAAUGUCAGAGAAUGGGGUUCGAAACCUUACAUGAUG